This is a long non-coding RNA of Mustela erminea (ermine), 514 nucleotides long. RefSeq lists it as uncharacterized. Lineage: Eukaryota; Metazoa; Chordata; Mammalia; Carnivora; Mustelidae. The record is from RefSeq and is a predicted model, not a curated record. The transcript has 3 exons.
ACUUUCCUGCUUGCCCUGAGCUGUAUCGACUGCCUUCAGUGCAUUUGGUGAAGCAGAGAAACGAGUUGAAGAAUCAGUGGGCCCUAGACAUUGGCUCCUGGUGGGCACGUCCCCGUCACCUCUCUCAGUCUUCUCUGUCUCUGUCUCUCACAGCCUUGGCUCCCAGACCCCCUGCAGCACACACAGCGUGCUCUGCUCUCUGCCAGGCACCUGGGAUUCUUGGUUCCCACUCUCGUCCGUCUCCGUGAGCUGGUUUCCAGUCUACACUCGCCAGAAGGAGGUUGGAGUAGAGACUGAAUGCCAUGCAUGACAUGUACCAUAGCCUGGAACAGAUAUGUUCUCCAUCUUCCCCUGACCAAGUACUGCUCAUCCUCCGGUUUUGGGGUUAGACUUCAACUGCUGGAGAAGGCAUUACCUGACCCCCCGGUCUAUUUAGAUGGCCCACCUCAUGUCCUUGCUGAAAAUCCCCAAUAUCAUCCUGCAAUUUUCCAUAACAAACCUCAUAUUCAAUAUA